AUACUCUGGUUUCUCUUCAGAUCGUAUAAAUCUUUCGCCUUUUACUAAAGAUUUCCGUGGAGAGGAACAAUUCUGAGUCUAAACCCAAUUUUUUGAGGCCUUGCUUUUUUUUUAGCAGGGCU
This 122-nucleotide small nuclear RNA is filed under the name Heterocephalus glaber (naked mole-rat). RNAcentral describes it as "U5 spliceosomal RNA (ENSHGLG00000024138.2)". It matches the Rfam family "U5 spliceosomal RNA". Rfam says of the family: U5 RNA is a component of both types of known spliceosome. The precise function of this molecule is unknown, though it is known that the 5' loop is required for splice site selection and p220 binding, and that both the 3' stem-loop and the Sm site are important for Sm protein binding and cap methylation. Lineage: Eukaryota; Metazoa; Chordata; Mammalia; Rodentia; Bathyergidae. The record is from RNAcentral.